CCACAUGUUUCGUUUAAAUAACUAUGUUUCUGCCAGGGUGAAUCAAUAGGACAUUUGCCAGUACUUUUCUUUAAUCGACAUUAUUUUUAACAUUUUAUAAACGCCCUGUUUUGUUCUGGCUCACUUGACAGUGCACAGCUGUGUGAGCAAGCCACUCAGGAAGGAGGAAGGUGAUGAAAGUGUCAAUAGCAAUUACCCCAUGCUGCUCAGCUAACAAUGGCAUAAAUGUUACAUGGGAUUUCAGUCCUGGCACAAAUAUACAGUUCUUGUCAUUUUACCACCGUGGUUUACGUUGCGACAGUCUUCCCAUCAAUCAGCAUCACUCUGAGAGCAGACAUUGUACAUUGCACAUGGUUGCGGUUGGUGUGAUGUCGGGAUGCAGAGAAGACAGUAACAAGUCCUUUCGGGAAAAGAGGAAGCACCAGCGUGACGAAAGAGGCAGAUGACAGGCAGGUGUAUCCCCUGAUCUCUCAUCAAGAGCAGGUGUGUACGUAAGCGUUUAGAACCGGAGGUGAAGUCACAAGCAAGACAGACCAAAACCAGGAAGAGGCACCAAAAUUAGAGC
Entelurus aequoreus (snake pipefish) is the source of this 565-nucleotide long non-coding RNA. RefSeq lists it as uncharacterized. Lineage: Eukaryota; Metazoa; Chordata; Actinopteri; Syngnathiformes; Syngnathidae. The transcript is spliced from 4 exons. The record is from RefSeq and is a predicted model, not a curated record.